GAUGAACGCUGGCGGCGUGCCUAAUACAUGCAAGUCGAGCGAACAGACGAGAGUGCUUGCACUCUCUGCCGUUAGCGGCGGACGGGUGAGUAACACGUGGGUAACCUACCUAUAAGACUGGGAUAACUUCGGGAAACCGGAGCUAAUACCGGAUAAUAUUUAGCUUCGCAUGAAGCAAUAGUGAAAGACGGUUCUGCUGUCACUUAUAGAUGGACCCGCGGUGUAUUAGCUAGUUGGUGAGGUAACGGCUCACCAAGGCAACGAUACAUAGCCGACCUGAGAGGGUGAUCGGCCACACUGGGACUGAGACACGGACCAGACUCCUACGGGAGGCAGCAGUAGGGAAUCUUCCGCAAUGGACGAAAGUCUGACGGAGCAAUGCCGCGUGAGUGAAGAAGGUUUUCGGAUCGUAAAACUCUGUUGUAAGGGAAGAACAAGUACGUUAGUAACUGAACGUACCUUGACGGUACCUUACCAGAAAGCCACGGCUAACUACGUG
Molecule: ribosomal RNA, 499 nt
Filed under: uncultured bacterium
Lineage: Bacteria
Description: partial 16S ribosomal RNA
Rfam family: Bacterial small subunit ribosomal RNA
Source: RNAcentral